Molecule: long non-coding RNA, 455 nt
Organism: Sapajus apella (tufted capuchin)
Lineage: Eukaryota; Metazoa; Chordata; Mammalia; Primates; Cebidae
Exons: 2
Source: RefSeq, a predicted model, not a curated record
UGGGAACCAGCUUCCUGCCAAGUGUUUGGAAGGGCAUGCCCACUUUCCACUUCUGGCUAGAUAUGAAAGUGAAAGUUUCUGAAAGUGAUCUUUGCUGGCUGGGAUCUGAAGCACCUGUCAGGAGGAAGAACAGAUCAGCCCUAACUCGAGGGUGCUCCCCAGUGGCUGUGAACCAGCUACGGGUCCCUUGCAGGGAGAGGCAAGAAGUGUGAGUAAAGCUACAGGGUCCCAGGAUGGCAAACAGCUAUGAUGAAUGUUCUUUUGUUUGCAGGAAGCUUUUUAAGGUCAAAAGUAUAGCCUCUUUACCCCUAGUGCCUAGCAUAGUGAUGGGCACAUAAUAGGUGCUCAAUGAAGUUUUGGUCAAUGAUUGCAAGAAAGAACAGUUAUUGGCUAUCAGAACCAUUUACAUGGGAUUAGCCCUAGGGCCCUAAUAAGUAUCUGAUUGACUGCUGGUA